This 273-nucleotide ribosomal RNA is filed under the name uncultured bacterium. Its description in RNAcentral is "partial 16S ribosomal RNA". It matches the Rfam family "Bacterial small subunit ribosomal RNA", at positions 85 to 354 of the family's 1533-position model. The record is from RNAcentral.
CCGCCGGCGACCGGCGCACGGGUGAGUAACGCGUAUGCAACCUGCCCGUUUCAGCGGGAUAACCCGGAGAAAUCCGGCCUAAUACCGCAUGUGGCCGAGGGGAGGCAUCUUCUUUCGGCCAAAGGAGGCGACUCCGGAGACGGAUGGGCAUGCGUGACAUUAGCUAGUUGGCGGGGUAACGGCCCACCAAGGCGACGAUGUCUAGGGGUUCUGAGAGGAAGGUCCCCCACACUGGUACUGAGACACGGACCAGACUCCUACGGGAGGCAGCAG